This 429-nucleotide ribosomal RNA is filed under the name Chloroflexota bacterium. RNAcentral describes it as "Chloroflexi bacterium partial 16S ribosomal RNA". It matches the Rfam family "Bacterial small subunit ribosomal RNA", at positions 355 to 776 of the family's 1533-position model. RNAcentral also lists the same sequence under 1 other name. The record is from RNAcentral. Lineage: Bacteria; Bacillati; Chloroflexota.
UAGGGAAUCUUCGGCAAUGGACGAAAGUCUGACCGAGCAACGCCGCGUGAGUGAAGAAGGUUUUCGGAUCGUAAAACUCUGUUGUUAGAGAAGAACAAGGACGUUAGUAACUGAACGUCCCCUGACGGUAUCUAACCAGAAAGCCACGGCUAACUACGUGCCAGCAGCCGCGGUAAUACGUAGGUGGCAAGCGUUGUCCGGAUUUAUUGGGCGUAAAGCGAGCGCAGGCGGUUUCUUAAGUCUGAUGUGAAAGCCCCCGGCUCAACCGGGGAGGGUCAUUGGAAACUGGGAGACUUGAGUGCAGAAGAGGAGAGUGGAAUUCCAUGUGUAGCGGUGAAAUGCGUAGAUAUAUGGAGGAACACCGGUGGCGAAGGCGGCUCUCUGGUCUGUAACUGACGCUGAGGCUCGAAAGCGUGGGGAGCAAACAGG